Pecten maximus is the source of this 1714-nucleotide long non-coding RNA. RefSeq lists it as uncharacterized. The transcript has 4 exons. NCBI's taxonomy places the organism in Eukaryota, Metazoa, Mollusca, Bivalvia, Pectinida, Pectinidae. The record is from RefSeq and is a predicted model, not a curated record.
UCCCGUGUCCGUAUGGGACAUACCAAGAUACACCUGGAUCUACUUCCUGUAAGCAAUGUCCUGAUGGUUUUUUGACUCGGUUUCUAGAGUCCACUGACAUAACCGAAUGCUCCGUGCCAUCUAGAGUUCUUACCAAAGAAACAUCAGCUGUUUCUAAAGAAGGCAUCAUUGUUGGCUGUAUCGCAGGGGCGCUGUUUGUCUGUGCUGUUAUCGUAGGAAUUGCAGUUUGGCAGUUUCUUAGGAGGAAACGACCGACCUACAAUAUCACGGUUUCUACAACAACAUCACUUGGCGAUGAACUCUGUAUAAGUGGUCCACAUUGGGCUCCUUCUGAUAUUGAUGACCCCUGUGAAAGUAAUCAUUUCCUUACCACAACUAAAGCUACGGCUGAUCUGUGAUCGAUGACCCUUGUGAAAGUUAUCCUUUCCUUACAACAGCUAAACCUACGGCUGAUCUGUGAUAAAUGACCCUUGUGGAAGUUACCCGUUCCUUACAACUAAACCUACGGCUGAUCUGUGACCGAUGUCUCUGUUGAAGUUUUCGUUUCCUUACAAAUUACUAAAGCUACGGCUGAUCUCUGAUUGAUGACCCCCAUAGAAGUAAACGGUUUUGUAUUAACUAUACCUAAGGCUGAUCUGUGAGAAAUGAUCUUUUCCUCUUUUUUAUUAUUUAUCUUUUGUACCUAUAUAUAACUAUGAUUACUCCAUGAUCGUUUUGGAGAUUCGUGUACCUUUUUGCCAUUAGUGAUAUUUAAAUUGUUAACUUUUCUUCAUCCAUGGAAACAAACUUUAUUGUUUGCAUGUUGUUGUUUUUCCGGAUAGAGAAUCGAAAUCUUUCUAUCUACAAAUGUCAGGCUAUUUCUCUGGAUAGUUUCUCUGUACCAUGUCAACUUUUCAAGGUAAUUACUGUUUCACGGUACUUAAAUCUUAUGUCAAUUUUUCAUUUUGUCGACCAAUACAUCAUACUUUCUCGAUAUCCUUAUUCUGAAUUCAUAUGACAAGGUAAUUUGUGGUGUAUGUACCCAUAACACCAUUGUGCACGCUUCAAAACAAUGUAGCCGCAUAACAGAUGGUCAUACUAAUGUUUUGUUUCUUACAAAACUUAUAGAUCUACACUGUUAAAUUUUAAAAGAAAAUUGACGCGUUCGAGGCCUCUGCUUUUAUUUAGACUGAAAGAAAAAAACAAAUGUGACGUUUUAUUGUGUUUAAUUGCUAGUUUUGCUAAAAUCUUGGUAGAUUAAUCUUUCUGAUAUUAGAAUUAGACAACAGACGGAACAAUUCAUUGGUUAAGUAGUAAAGUGAUGAUAUACUUAUUUUGUAGUAAUGGGACAGCACUCGGCGAACUACAAUCAAAAUGAACAUUCGUAGGCUUUAAUUCUGUUAAUGAUUUCGAGAAUGUGAAACAGAUAUAUUCCCCACCACUAACACGACCAGCAUCACCCCCAACACGACUACGACCACCAACUGAUCAUGAUUGUGAUUAUCUUUUUGUUCUUUGUUGUAAAUAAUUAAUUAUUAUGUUAAUAUCGUCUCAUUCUCGAAUAUAUUUUGAUGCAAACCUUUAUUUUGUAAAUAUUGACAUUUGCAAACCAUGAAUAAACUACAGGCCACCAUAUAGUUAGGACCUGACGACAUCUGGGUUAGAAAUAUUAUACUGUACAUUCUUCCAAGAGAUCAUAAGACUCUUUCAUAUGUGUAUAUGUAGGAUAUGGAUA